RNAcentral lists this ribosomal RNA (482 nucleotides) under uncultured bacterium. RNAcentral describes it as "bacterial SSU rRNA". It matches the Rfam family "Bacterial small subunit ribosomal RNA", at positions 31 to 507 of the family's 1533-position model. The record is from RNAcentral.
GAACGCUGGCGGCAGGCUUAACACAUGCAAGUCGAGCGGGGUGAUGUAGCUUGCUACAUUACCUAGCGGCGGACGGGUGAGUAAUGCUUAGGAAUCUGCCUAUUAGUGGGGGACAACAUUCCGAAAGGAAUGCUAAUACCGCAUACGCCCUACGGGGGAAAGCAGGGGAUCUUCGGACCUUGCGCUAAUAGAUGAGCCUAAGUCAGAUUAGCUAGUUGGUGGGGUAAAGGCCUACCAAGGCGACGAUCUGUAGCGGGUCUGAGAGGAUGAUCCGCCACACUGGGACUGAGACACGGCCCAGACUCCUACGGGAGGCAGCAGUGGGGAAUAUUGGACAAUGGGCGAAAGCCUGAUCCAGCCAUGCCGCGUGUGUGAAGAAGGCCUUUUGGUUGUAAAGCACUUUAAGCGAGGAGGAGGCUACUUAGAUUAAUACUCUAGGAUAGUGGACGUUACUCGCAGAAUAAGCACCGGCUAACUCUGUG